RNAcentral lists this ribosomal RNA (492 nucleotides) under uncultured bacterium. RNAcentral's name for it is "partial 16S ribosomal RNA". It matches the Rfam family "Bacterial small subunit ribosomal RNA", at positions 29 to 507 of the family's 1533-position model. The record is from RNAcentral.
AGUGAACGCUGGCGGUAGGCCUAACACAUGCAAGUCGAACGGCAGCACAGUAAGAGCUUGCUCUUACGGGUGGCGAGUGGCGGACGGGUGAGGAAUACAUCGGAAUCUACUUUUUCGUGGGGGAUAACGUAGGGAAACUUACGCUAAUACCGCAUACGACCUACGGGUGAAAGCAGGGGAUCUUCGGACCUUGCGCGAUUGAAUGAGCCGAUGUCGGAUUAGCUAGUUGGCGGGGUAAAGGCCCACCAAGGCGACGAUCCGUAGCUGGUCUGAGAGGAUGGACAGCCACAGUGGAACGGAGACACGGGCCAGACUCCAACGGGAGGCAGCAGUGGGGAAUAUUGGACAAUGGGCGGAAGCCUGAUCCAGCCAUACGGGGUGGGUGAAGAAGGCCUUCGGGUUGUAAAGCCCUUUUGUUGGGAAAGAAAAGCAGCAGGUUAAUACCCCGCUGUUCUGACGGUACCCAAAGAAUAAGCACCGGCUAACUUCGUG